Molecule: ribosomal RNA, 414 nt
Filed under: Segestria sp. SE001
Lineage: Eukaryota; Metazoa; Arthropoda; Arachnida; Araneae; Segestriidae
Description: partial 16S ribosomal RNA
Rfam family: Bacterial large subunit ribosomal RNA
Source: RNAcentral
CCUGCUCAAUGUUAUUAUCAAUAGCCGCAGAAUUUACUGUGCUAAGGUAGCAUAAUCAUUUGCCUUUUAAUUAAAGGAUAGUAUGAAUGGGUUAACAAUAUUAAACUGUUUCUUUACUAUAUAAUUAAAUUAUACUAAAAGUAAAAAUACUUUUAAUUACAAGAAGGACGACAAGACCCUAUCGAACUUUACACAAGUUUAGCUGGGGUGGCAAAUUAAAAAAAUCUUAUUUUUUUACCAAUAAAAAUCCAGUAUAAUUGAUUUCACUAAGUUACCGUAGGGAUAACAGCAUAAUUUACUUUUUAAGCUCUUAUUUAAAAGUAAGAUUGUGACCUCGAUGUUGAAUUAAAAAAUCUCCUUACUUUGACGCAAAAGUCUAGAAAGAAAGUCUGUUCGACUUUUAAACUUUUACAU